UAUCCGUAGGUGUACCUGCGGAAGGAUCAUUAAAGUUAUAGUCCCCCGGCCCUCUGGGCUGGGGUCUUCUAUACCACCCUUUGUUUAUUACACCUUUGUUGCUUUGGCAGGCCUGCCCUCGGGCUGCUGGCUCCGGCCGGCUCGCGUCUGCCAGAGGACCUAAACUCUGUUUGUAUAUGAAGUCUGAGUACUAUAUAAUAGUUAAAACUUUUAACAACGGAUCUCUUGGUUCUG
This 234-nucleotide unclassified non-coding RNA is filed under the name plant metagenome. RNAcentral's name for it is "partial contains small subunit ribosomal RNA, internal transcribed spacer 1, and 5.8S ribosomal RNA". The record is from RNAcentral.